UGUGGCCAGCUUGUAUCCGGCGCCGCCCCAGCAACAGCUGCAGCAGCAACAGCAGCAGCAGCAGCGGGGCGGUGAUGGCGGCUGGGGGGCCGCGGCCGGUGGCGCCGCCGCGGGUGUGCCCCAGGAGCACGCGCGCCGGCCGCAGCUGCACUUCGCAGCGGGGCAUGCUCUACAGCAGCAGCAGCAGCAGCAGCAGCAGCAGCUGCAGCAGCAGCAGCAGCAGCUGCAGCAGGUGGUGGGGCAGCAGCAGGCGCAUCAGGCAGGGCUGCAGCAGCUGCCUUUCUGGGUGCUGGCGCAGUUGCCGCCCGCGGUGCUUGUGCGGCUGCAGCACAUCAGCGCGUCAGACCCCGCGGGCUGGCAGGAGCUGCUGCAGCGGCUGCUGUGCCCGCCGCAGCACGUUCAGCAGGGGCAGGAGCAGCACUAGCCGUCUGGGAUAUACGAAGAGGCAGCGGCGGGGCGGCGUGAUGGGCAGGUGGCCUUGCCAGCCGCAGAAGCCAAUGCCGUCCUAUGUGCUUGAAGCGUUGCUUGCUGAGGGGCACUGCCUUGCGAUGGGCCGAUUCGCUGAAUACGAAAGGGGAGCUAGCGUCAUGCGCCGCAGUUACUUCCAUUCAUGUAGUAUGGGUAGCGGUCCUCUUGUUAGGGCCAUCGCGAGGGCCGCGGGCCCAAUUUAAUCGCGUGUGUAGCGCACUUUCGAGUCGUGGAGGUGGGUGAUUGGGCGGGUGGGUGCAUGGGUGCGUAGGGCACAUGCACGCCAUGUUGUCGGGAAAUGCGCGAUCAAGAUAUUCAGUAUCAACGGUGAGUUCUAGCGUUACACGGAUACGCUAAAUGAUUACGCAUGGAUGCAAGUUUACGAUCGGGAACAGCCUUGCCGUGCAGAGACCACUUAGUGCUUCGCCGGACCAAAGUAGCGUGAGCUUAGCCCCAACCCCACCCCCAAACAACUUCGUGGUGCCUGGGGAAGGGCCUUGGGCAACCCUGGUCUUGGCUUUGCCAGGCCCGGAUGUAAGCUUCAUGUUAGUGCAUACACGUCAAUAAAGCUCAGCUGUAAUCAGUGGAGCAGGCAGGCGAGGUCGCGAGGAUAAUGGCCUGCCGUCCAACAAGUGUGCCUGACCUACCGGAAGACUCCUUAACCCCCCAACCCUGUUCACAUUGCCGGUUGCAAGAACCCAGGGGUGCAAGAACCUGUCGGGCGCUUUUGAAGCGGAGAAAGCCAGGAGGCGGAAAUUACGUGCGCCCGGGACCUAGGCACGCACUACCAUCGAUACUCAGUUUCGCACUCUUGAGCCUUAACAUCUGUGUAACAGCUCACAACACGACGUCGCACUGGUGGUGCGUGUGUGAGGGUGUGAGGGUGUUCUGUGUGUGUGUGUGUGUGUGGGGGGGGGGGUGUUCUGUGUGUGUGUGUGGGGGGGGGGGGGGGUGUACACCAUGCUCGUACAGUAAUGCUGCAAAGUGCCGCCGCUGCGGGCCUGCGGCGCCGUGAGCUACGUACAGCUGCUCGAUAGUGUUCCAGCGGACGCACUGGGACGGGAAUCACAGUAAAUGGGGCGCGACUAGAGCGCCACUAACGAACCAUGACGCCAUGAGUGCCGCGCAUGCAAUGUCACCUGGCUUUUGGCACCCAUCAUAGCCGAGGGGCCAAAACAAAAUCGGGCAUGCUCAGCUCUUUUAAUGCCCGCUUUGAGCGUAGAACCUGAUUCUGACAAGGUAGCUGCAGCGAGUUGGACCUUCCGACGACCACUUUAGAGCAGGACAACCGAGGCUAAGUUCAUUCAUAUACUUUGAGAGUUUGAAGUAGCGGCCAUGUCGGGCCGAGGCCGAGGCGGUGAGCUCCAAUGGCACAGCACAGUCGGUCAUUUCGCUCGUGCACUCGCGAAGCUGCCUCAUGCUCCGCGCUUCAUGUUCUUACAGGAGGUGGAGGCUAUGGCGGAGGCUACGGCGGAGGCGGGGGAGGUGAGGGCCCGCCGGGACCCAGGGGCUUGAUAUCGCGGUCACGGGUGGUUAGCGGCAAUGGUCAGCGGUGCUAGCAGGCUGCUGCUGCUGCUGUUGCACCCGCGGCUAGCGCGGUAGCUGACAAUGCGGAGGCUAGCCAGGUAAAGGGUCCGCGGCGCUCCCGCCGCGGACAGCGCUGCUGCUUCAACGCGGCAGCUGUUCGUGUGCCGGCGCUGGGUUGUUCAUGGCUUCAUCAUGCAUAGCAGACUACUCAUGGCAGUGACUCGCUAGGGCUGCGGCGGGGCGGCAGCCUGGCAGGGCGGACUCGCAGGUCGGCGCGCGGCCUGCUGCUGCUGCUGCUGCUGCUGCUGCUGCUGCUGCGGUGGCGCCGCCGCCGCGACCGCGGCCUGCUUGGUCGCGGGCCGCCUAAAGAACUAGGCACGACUGUUUGUAUGUUCAGGCAUGGCCGUGUGGACUUGUCAUAGCCCUGCAUAGCUGCUAGUCUUCCGCGCCAAACUGGACUGCGCAAUGCAACUGCUCCUGCUGCAGGCUCCCGCGGCGGCGGCGGCGGCGGUGGGAGCGGUGGCGGCGACCGAGGAUACGGCGGUGGCGGCGGCGGCCGCGGAGGUGGCGGCUAUGGUGGCGGCAGCGCUGGCGGCGGUGGCUACGGUGGCGGCGGCGGUCGGGGCGGCGGAGGCGGCGGAGGCGGCUAUGGUGGAGGCGGCGGCGGCCGCGGAGGUGCGUGUGCUCCACGAACCAAUCGAUAUCUCAACAUUCCCGACCCACAUCGUGUCCCCAUGCCCGCACGGUCCGUACUGCCGCCCCCUGCCGUCAACCCCGGACGCAUGCAUGUGUUCACGCAUGUCUGUGUUCACGCAUGUGUGGUCACGCAUGUGUGGUCACGCAUGUGUGGUCACGCAGGCGGUGGCGGCGGCGGCGGCGUGGUGAGCCCGCAGCAGGCGGCGGCGACGCUGGACGUGGUCCUCAAGUCGGCCCGGACCCUGACCGCCAAAGUCAACGUGAGUGGCAGCCCCACGUGGCAGCUCGGCAGCCCGGGAAGCGCACGUUGCGCCGCCGCGGAUGCGUGCGUGGGUCAGUCCAAACCCCAUAGGGGGUUUGUAGAUCCCAGCCCAAACUAAACCGGGGGGAGGUGGGGUUGUAGAUACCAGCCCAAACUAAACCGAACCCAAUGCAAACGAGCGAGUGAUGAGGGUGUUGGGCCGCACGUGGUGCUGUUGUCGUGCCCCCCUGGGUCUGGAUCUGGGUCUGGGUCUGGGUCUGGAUCUGGGUCCGAGUUUGUGUGUGUCCGCCUGAGUGUGUUGUCCAUCAAUGAGCCCAAUGCGCGGUCUCAUCCCCCGAGGCACACGCGCCACACACCCACGAAUACACGCACGCCCCGCCACGCCACAGCACGCCUCUCGCCCCACACCGCGAGGGCCCGGCCCCCGCCCCCUCCCCCGCCCCCCCCACCGCCACCACCCCCGCGCUCUGGAUGGGGCCGGCGUGCUUGAGGUCCACUCGGUUGGCUCGCUCUUGAUUCGGUAAUAAACCUACCGCUCCCCCUCCCCGUCCCUUAUCCCCCGACGGCACCAGGUGGAGACGACGCCCGACGGCCGGCCGCUGGGCAUCACGCGCCGCCCCAACGCCGGCACCGUUGGCAAGGCGGUGGCGCUGCUGGCCAAUUACUUCGCACUGGCCACCACACCCGCCUUCCCGGGGCAGGUGAGGCCGGGCAGGGGGAAGCGAGGUGGGGAUGAGAAUACCAGCCCAUAACUAAAGCAAAGCAAGCCGAUGGCGGGCGGGGCAGUCUCUUUUACUUCAGUUCCCCCUCCUAGUGCGGGCCCCAGGGCCAGGCGCGGUACGGGAUGCGGUCAGGUCGGGUCAGGCCCUGUCUGGUCUGAUCUGGUCCGGUCUGGUCUGGUCCGGUCUGGCACACUGCUGUGGCGGCUUUCAGGCACGCACUGGCUUCCCCCACCACGGUGACGUCGGCGCCUCCAAGAUUGCAUGUUGUCAACGCCUUUUUCAACUGAUCAUGCCCAUCCCCUCCCAAGUGAUUUCAUCGCUUCGUUCUUCACAUGCACUGCUAUCCCCCUCAUCCCCCUCCCCACUUCCUUAACUAAUCAUGAAUGUAACCCCACCCCCAGGCCUACCACUACGAUGUGGAGAUACGCUCCGUUGAAGAGGCGGCAGGAGGUGAGGGCGUGUGUGUGUAUAGGUGUGUGUGUAGAUACCAGCCCAAACUGAGCUUACCCUGAUGCAAAAGAGCGCGGAGAAGAGCGUGGCUCAUGCUGUGACGGAGCGGAAUUCCACAGUAGUCUCCACGAGGUCUGGGCGUGUCGAUAGGGCGGGAGGCCGGGGAUGGGUAUCAUACCUGAACUGGCUUGACCUGAUCUGAUCUGAUCUACUGUCGUACCCUGCCGUAUCACAGGAGGAGGAGGCGGCGGCCGUGGCGGCGGCCGUGGCGGCGGCGGCGGCGGCGGCGGCGGGCGCGGGGGCCGGCGUGACCUGGCGCCUGCUAGUGCUACUGGCGACGUGCCGGGUGGCGCCGCCGCCGCCGCCGCCGCUGAGGACCUGCCGCCGCGGCUGGCGCACCGCGUGAUGGCGGCGGCGGCGGCGGCGCACGGCUGGCCGGCGGGGGCGUGGCGGUUUGAUGGGCGGAAGAACCUGUUCCUGCCGGGGGAGGUGAGCUGGAGGGUAGGGGGAGGGGGAGCGGGAGGGUUGCAGAUACCAGUCGAACGUAAACCGAACCGAAAAGCGGGAGGGGGAUGGGGAGCGGAAGGUGAGCACGGAGAGGGGAGCGGGAGGGGAGGGGUGUCAGCCUCCCUCGGCCCCCACUGCCUGACCCACACCACGUCAGUGAUCUGGGUCGGGCAGUGGCGGCCGCGAUCCGCAUUCCAACACCCUCGAGGACGGGAACCGUUGAGUGCUGGCAUUCCGCAAUCAAUACACUCAACAUCUGGGGCGGGUCCCUUGCCUGGCUGACGUGUUAAGCCCCUCCCCCCCCCCCAUUCAAAUACUCUGUUCUCGUGCUGCGUCCCCACCCACAACCACCUCUGUAACGUGCCCUCCCUCCUGCUAGCCUGUCCAUUUAUUCCACACCGCCCCCUCUCCUCUUCUCCUCUCCUCCCUCCGCCCCGCCCCGCAGCUGCUGCCGCGCGAGGUGCGGGAGUGGCCUGUGACGCUCAAGCCGCGCGAGGGCGACAAGAGCGAGCGCGACAAGGGCUUCGUGGUGGCUACCAAGUGGGCGGCGUGUGUGGGGCUGACGCAGCUGCAGGACUACCUGGCGCAGAGGCAGCAGACGGCGCCGCGCGACGCCAUGCAGGUGUGGUGUGUGUGGGGGGGGUGGGAUGGGUGGAGGUGUGUGUGUGUGUGUGUUAAACAAAAACAAACGGAACAAUUCCGCCAUACACGCGCGCGCAGUUACCCACAAAUACCUACGCCAGUAACCGAGCUCCGCGUGUGUGUGUGUGGGGGGGGGGGGGGGGGGCUGGGGGGGGAAGGGUGUGAGGUUUGGCGGCGGUCGGGGGGGGGGGGGGUUCGGGGUGAUUAGGCUGAACAGGAGCACUCGGGCCCUUUCCUUCCCUGCCUGCAAAUCACUGCCCAAAACCAUUUUGGUUGGGGUCUUACAAUUCCCUUGUAUGAUUUGGUCCCCCUCCCUCCCCCCCCCCCCCCCAAAAACGCUGCCCCCAUUUCCCCCUCCCUCCCCGCAGGUGCUGGACAUUGUGAUCCGGCACGCCUUCCCAAUCAACCCGCGCUGCACCGGGGGGGGCCGCGGUUUCUACUACGGCGGGAAGGGGGUGAUGCCCCUGGGGGGCGGCCCAAAAGUGNNNNNNNNNNNNNNNNNNNNNNNNNNNNNNNNNNNNNNNNNNNNNNNNNNNNNNNNNNNNNNNNNNNNNNNNNNNNNNNNNNNNNNNNNNNNNNNNNNNNGGGGGGGGGGGUUCGUGGUGAUUAGGCUGAGCAGGAGCACUCGGGCCCUUUCCUUCCCUGCCUGCAAAUCACUGCCCAGAACCAUUUUGGUUGGGGUCUUACAAUUCGCUUGUAUGAUUUGGUCCCCCUCCCUCCCCCCCCCCCCCCCACACACGCUGCCCCCACUUCCCCCUCCCUCCCCGCAGGUGCUGGACAUUGUGAUCCGGCACGCCUUCGCGAUCGACCCGCGCUGCACCGUGGUGGGCCGCGGCUUCUACUACGGCGGGGAGGGGGUGAUGCCGCUGGGGGGCGGCGCAGAGGUGUGGAGUGGAUUCCAGCAGGUGAGGGGGAGAGAGCAGGGGGGGGAGGGGCUGGGGGAGGGGGGGAGGACUGUAGGGGGGCGGACUAUAGGGGGGCGGACUGUAGGGGGCGGACAGGGGGAUAGGAGUGGGAGCGGGUCAUUGAAAAUUCAGCCCAGCCCAAACGUAGGAGCACGAGGAGAGCUCGAAGAGAGGCCAAUACAUCAUAUCCGCAUAUGCCUUGAGCCGGAGCGCCUUUGCAGGCGCAAGCCCGUAAACCGUAACAAUGCUGAUACCGGCGCCACGCACCUUGCCGGCGCUCCCAUCGUGUGCGGACGUGCCGGCGGCCUGCGCCUUGGAUAAACAUGAAUGUAACCCAACACCCAAACCACCCCACACACACGCCCCCCCUCCCCCCCCCCCACACACACACAUACACACACUCACACACACGCGCGCCCCCCCACACACAUACACACACACCUUGAGCCCCACACCUUUGAAACCCCCACCUUGAACCCCCACCCCCACCCCCGCAGUCCUUCAAGGCGGUCCAGGCCGGCCUCAUGCUCAACCUGGACUCCUCCUUCGCAGCCUUCAUGUCCGCCCGCCCGCUGCCCGAGCUGCUGGCGGAGGGCGCGGGCGUGCGCGGCGGCCCGGCGCAACUGGCGGCGGCCGACCCACGCCGGCUGAGGGCGGCUGCCAGGUCGCUGGUGGGGUUCAAGGUGUGUGUGUGUGUGUGUGUGUGUGUGUGUGUGUGUGUGUGUGUGUAUGUGUGUGCGUGUGUGCGUGUGCGUGUGUGUGUGUGUGUGUUAAAGAGCACAAGGAAAACAUUGCGCAAAGACAGUGUAUGCGAUGCACCAAAGCGACGGUUUACGGAUGUUAUGUGUGUGUGUGUGUGUUUGUGUGUGUGUGUGUGUGUGUUUGUUUUUUGCGGGGGCCGGGGGGAUGGAGGGGACGGGGUUUUGGGGUGAUAAGCCGUACACAUGGAGAGCGUGGGGCUGAGGGUGUGAGGGGGGGAUAGAGUGUGGCAGGCCGGGAGGCUUUGAACGCUCACGCGCACACGCACACAUAACACACACACACACACCCUUCCCCCCACCUCCCAUCUCCCCUCCCCUCCCUCAGGUGGAGUUCCCCAUGCCCGGCGGCCGCGCUCGGCGCAAGAUGCUGACGGGGCUGAGCGAGCAGGGAGCAGACCGCACCAUGUUCAUGAACGAGAAGGAGGGGCGGUGAGAGGGCGGGCGGCGUGAGUGUGGUGUGGAACAAAUGUGGAACGAAUGGUGGGUGUGGGGGAAUGCGUGCGUGCGUGCGGGGGCCUGGUGUGUGGCGGGCCCCACCCACACAGGCCCUUACCCCAAACCCCACACCCACCCCCCAAACCUUACACCCACACCCACCCACCCACACACACACACACGCCCCACACCCCGCCCCCUCCCCCCGCUCCCCCCCCCCCCAGUGAGAUGUCAGUGGCCGAGUACUUCCGCUCCACUGGCCGCCCGCUGCGCCACCCCGGCCUGCCCUGCGCCAACGUGGGCGACCGCCGCCGCGCAGUCUACAUUCCGCUGGAGCUGUGCACGUGAGCGUGAGGGGGGGGGAGAGGGAUGGGGGAGCGGGGUGGGGGUGUGUGUGGGGUGGGUGGGUGGGUGGGCUGGUGGGUGGGCUGGUGGCUGGGUGUGUGUGUGUGUGUGUGUGUGUGUGUGCGUGUGUGCAUACGCGCCACCACCUGUACCUUCACGCACGUCCACCCCUGCACGCAACCCUUCGCUCUCUCGCCCCUGUACAACGACUUGUCGACGACUUCUCGCCACACGUUACCAUGCAUUGGACCCCCCCCUCUCUCCCCCUCUCCCCACCGCCCUCUCCCCACCGCCCUCUCCCCUCUCCCCCUGUCCCCUCCCCCUCCCCCUCUCCCUCCUCCCCCUUCCUCUAACCCCCCUCUCCUCCCCUCUCCCCCACCCCCCCUUCCUAGUGUGGUUGCUGGCCAGCGGCGCAUGAAGCUGGACGCCACGCAGUCGGCCGGCAUGAUCACCGCCGCCAAACAGGAUCCGGCGGUGAAGGCCGAGGCAUGCAACAAGCAGGUGGGGUUGGGUGGGAGAGAGAGAGAGUGUGUGUGUGUGUGCGUGUGCGUGCGUGUGUGUGUGUGUGUGUGUGUGUGUGUGUGUGUGCGUGUGUGUGUAUGUGCGUGCUGCACGGGCACCAGCGGGUGGGGGGUGGGGUGGAUGUGCUUGGGUGCUUGGAUGCUUUCGGAAGCGAUUUUGCUGCGAGGGGCCGCACACUGCUGGCACGGGCUGCACGGGCAUAUUGGCACGGGCACAGGCUGCAACGUAUAUGAUACGGCAACUGAGCGCCUGUGCGGCUGUGCGAGCAAAGGCCGAUGAAACCCGCCCAGGCCCGCCCCUCCAAUAACCUCCUCCAUUGUCACCACUGCCUGUUCGGAUUGGUUUGGUUACGGCUGGUAACUACAACCCCACCUAACGACGCGCCUGCUGUACCAAUGCGCCUGGCUACAACUCUUCUUCUCAUGUGUUUUGAAUGUAACCAUCACACACUUAAACGCACACAGGCCAAGCGGGUGGCCGAGGCUCUGGCUGCGGGCGGCACUGAGCGGUCCUGGGGCCUGAAGCUGGGCACCGGCAUGCUGCCGGUGCAGGGGCGCGUGCUGCCCAACCCCGUGCUGCAGUACGGCAACCGACAGGACUUCGACGCGGGGCCGCUGGGCAGCUGGAACACCCUGUGAGUGCGCGUGCGUGUGUGUGUUAAAAAAAACGAAACGAAAGCCCGCCCAGACGACGCCGGAGUUACUUACCGAUACCCACCAUUUUACCGAGCGUCGCGUGACUGUCGUGACCCAGGUAGUCAUACUUACCCGCGAUAAGCCUGGAACCCCACGGGCGACCAUUCGGCCUGACCCCGCGAUGCACCUGUAUGCGUCCAUGCUCCGCACCCUGGGCGCGCUAAACAACGUUUACCCAGCACGCCUAAUUCCCGGAUUCCCGCCCGCGUGUGUGUGUGUGUGUGUGUGUGUGUGUGUGUGUGUGUGUGUGUGUGUGUGUGUGUGUGUGUGUGUGUGUGUGUGUGUGUGUGUGUGUGUGUGUGUGUGUGCGUGUGUCCGCAACUCAUCAUGUCAGUUUCACGUGUUUCAGAGUGCGAGCCUGUGAGUCACACGUGUCAUAGAGAGUGGGAGCCUGUCAGUUGGCCAUGUGUGCCAGCUAGCGGGACCCGAAAACUGGGUGUGUCCAUGUCGCCCGUUGUACCCCCUUGCCAACCAUCUUUGCAGCCUCCACCCCGCCCCACCCCGACGACCGCACUUCUUAUUUCUUCAUAAAUGUACCGUAACCCCCCCCCCCGCUCAUGUGGUAACGACUUCGUCUGCAGUCUUCAGUGCAUCCUGUACCGCUUUUCCAAACAUCCCUGCAACCCCCCCCCCACACACACACACACGCACCCCCCCUGGAAACACACGCACACCCCUACACUCCCACUCCCCAGCAAUGUCAAGUUUGUGGACGCACGCGCACUGGACUCGUGGGCCGUGGCCGUCAUGAUGAACCAGGCGGUGGGUGGGGGCGGGCGGGCGGGGGCGGUGGGCUGUGGGGGAAAGGGACGCAGGCUGGUAUCUAUCGCGCGCGCGCGCCCCCCCGCCCCCCCCACACACACAAUACACAAAACACCCAACACAGGACGUGGACUUUGACGGCGACAACAGCAUCUGGAAAUUCCUGGAGGACCUCUGCUCGGCCAUGAUCACCCGCGGCAUGCGCGUGGCCAGCCCCGUGACCCGGGGCUCCAACGACAGCCCGCCAGUGGAGUACGGCGGCGCGGCGGCGGGCGGCGGCGCAGCAGGCCGCGGCGGCGGGGCCCGCGGCGUCGAGGCGACCCUGCGCGCGGCGGCAGACGCGGCGGCGGCGCGGUACAAGAAGCCGGCGCAGCUGGUGCUGGUGGUGCUGCCGGUCAAGGUGUGUGUGUGUGUGUGUGUGUACCAGGAGCGGGGGAUGCCGGGGGGGAUGAGGGGCUGGGGGGCUGGUGGAGGCGGGUGUGUGAGGCGGCGGGGGCGGCGGGGGCGGGGAGGAGCAUGGAGGCGCUGACAUUAAAACCGCCGUGUGUUGUAAUCAAAAGCCUGUAGCCCCACGGGCGGUCGGCGAACGACGCGACCCAAGCGCAAUGUAUGCGCCGCGCCCUGGGCGCGCUAGCACGUUCCCUGACCCUGUAUCCUGCCCCUCCCGCCCUCCCCCGCCCCUGGCUAUGCCUCCACUUGUUGAAUGCAACUCCCGCCCUCGCCCGCGCCAUUACUCCUUCUUGGAUGAUGAACGUAACCCCGCCCCCUCCCCCGCCCCCCUGCCCGCCCCCCCCCCCCCGCCUUUCCCCCGCCCAGCCCUCGGACGAGUACCGGGAGGUGAAGCGCGUGUCGGACAUCGAGUUGGGCAUACCCAGCCAGGUGGUGGUGGGGGGCAAGGUGAGAGCAGUAAGGGGUGUGAGGGGCAGAAGAUGGUGGAAGGUGGAGGGAGGUGGAGGGAGGUGGGAGGAGGGGGAAGGUGGAGCGGGGGGGGGAGGUGGCAGGUGGAAGCAGGUUGAAGGUGGAAGCAGGGGGAGGGAGGGAGGUGGGGGUUGGAAGGAGGUGGAGCGCGGGAGGUGGAGCGCGGGAGAAGCGAUUACUUAUGGGGGGAGGCAGGGGGGAGGCAGGGAACCACCAACUCGGCAGGGGCUGUGUGGCGCUGCCAUGCACGUGGGCCCCCACCACGGGCCCCCACCACAAGCCAGCCGCGGCCAUCCUAUGGACAUGGACAUUCGCACCGCACCUCCCCCGUAACCGCCUGAAACCGCCUGAAACCGCCGUGACCGCGAUCACAUCUCACACACACACACACACACACACACACACACACACACACACACACACACACGCUCGCACACACACACUCACACCUGCACCUGCCCCAAACCGACCACUCCAACCAGGCGCGUGUGGGCUACCGCGAGCAGAGGGGCGGCGGCCCGCAGUACUGCGCCAACGUGGCCAUGAAGAUUAACAACAAGCUGGGCGGGGUCAACGUGCAGCUCAGCGGCGGACUGCGGUGAGCGUGGGCGGGCAGGGGGAGGCGGGCCAGAGGGGAGGGCGGGGUGGGCGGGUGGGUUGGUUGGUGGGUGGCUGGGUGGGUGGGGGGUAGCCGUUCAUGGAGGGCGGAGCGAGAUGGAUGACGUUGAUUAUGAAAAUGCCCCGGAUCUAACGGGUCCUCGACUAAAUGAGACCUACUUCAUUGGGCUCGGGCACACAACCCUCCACACACCCGUUUACCAACUCUAUCUUCCCUCCCUCCUCCUCUCCCGCUCCACAGCUACAUGCCCGUGCUGGGCGGCGCGGGCUCCGUGCCCUUCAUGGUGUUGGGCGCCGACGUGACGCACCCCACCGGCGCCGCCGCGCGCGCCGACAGCCGCGACCCCUCCGUGGCGGCUGUGGUGGGCAGCCUGGACGCCAGCCUGGGCCGCUGGGCCAGCCGCGUGCUGCUGCAGGCGGGGCGCCAGGAGGUGAUCACGGGCAUGUGCGGCGCCACAAAGGAGCUGCUGCUGGAGUUCUACAGGGCAAACAAGUGAGGGGGGAGGGGGGGCGGAAGGGAGGGGGGAGGGAGGGAGGAAGGGGGAAGGGAGGGGGAAGGGGAAGGGUGUUCUGUGCCCUGGCGCCCAAACGAGAACCCACCACGACUAGUCAUUUCGCAAACACACACACACACACGCACACACACACACACACACACACACACACACACACACACACGCACGCACACACACACGCACACGCAUACACGCGCGCACACACACACACACACACACACACGCACGCCCACAGGCAGGUCAAGCCGCAGCGGCUGGUCAUGUACCGCGACGGCGUGUCGGAGGGCCAGUUCGAGCAGGUGGGGCGGGUGGGGUGGGGUGCAGGUGGGCGGAUGGGGGCAGUGAGGUGCGGUAGUUGCAAUGCGAUCCGGCGGUGCAGUGGGUGUGGGAGUGGGAGUGGGAGUGGCGGUAGUUGAGUUUGCUCUGAUUAAGUUUGGCCCGGUAUUUACACCACCACCCCCUCAAUGCCCAGGUCCUAGCGGAGGAGUUCACGGCCCUGCGCCGCGCCUGCCGCGAGCUGGAGGAGGGCUACCGGCCCGCCAUCACCUUCGUGGUGGUGCAGAAGCGCCACAACACCCGCCUGCUGCCCAACGACCGCGCGUCGGCCGACCCCAAGUGCGUGAGGGGGGGUUUGCAUUCAUGAUUACCGUGACUAAGAAGUGAAGGGCGGAGGGAUGGGUGUUAGAUGGUUGGUGGUUGGUUGAGAAGUCUUAUGCGCAGAGGUGUUGUUGGUAUGGUAUGGGGUCACGUGGGUGCGUCGGGCGGCACUUGGGGUGGCAGCUGUUGUGUUUCGUAGUGGUUUGCCACUGCUACACACAUAUACACACACACGGCGUCGUCUGGGCGGGCUUUCGUUUCGUUUUUUAAAACACACACACACACACACACACACACACACACACGCAUGCGACCGGGGCCCCAUGCUCUCCUCUCUCUCUUUCUCACCCCACGCGCUGGAGCUGGCCGCUGGACUUCACGGACAUCGGUAACAACGCGUCUACUAUGCGACUGCACCUGCCUACCACUUCACUUCUUUAUUAAUCAUGAAUGUAACCCCACCUCCACCUCCUCCCCACCUACCCCAGGGGCAACGUGGUCCCCGGCACGGUGGUGGACAGUGGCAUCACCGCCCCGGACGGCUUCGACUUCUACCUCAACAGCCACUCCGGACUGCAGGUGGGGGGUGGAUGGGGUGGGGGUGGUUGUAGAUUCCAGCCCAAACUAGCUAACCCAAUGCAGUAGAGCGAGUAGAGCGUGAGAGCCUAUGCUUGACAACGGAGUGGCACGCGACAACAGUCCCCAUCCCCGAAAUGCACCGAGUUCCCAGGGGGGUGGGUGGCGUGUGUGGGUGUGGGUGUGGGAGAGGUGGGCGGGCAGCAGGGGGGCCGCAGGAAGUAGAGUUUUAGCUGGUAUCUGCAACCCCACCCCCACCACCACCCCCACCACCACCCCCACCCCCACCCCCACCCCCACCACCCCACCCCCAACCCAACAGGGCACCAACAAGCCCGCCCACUACCACGUGCUGGUGGACGAGAUCGGGUUCGGCGCCGACGGCAUGCAGCUGCUCACCUACUGGCUGUGCUACCUCUACCAGCGCACCACCAAGUGAGGAGGGGAAGAGGGCUGGGGGCGGGGGGAGCUGGGGGAGAGGAGGGGGAGCUGGGGGAGAGGAGGGGGAAGGGGGGCGGGAGAGGAGGGGAGGAGGGGGAGGGGCCCAGCCAUUCAUGCGAACGGUUUGUAUGAAGCAUGAAACUGCCGAGGCACAGCGGAGCCUCCAGAGGCACAGCGGGAACACGCCGGGGACAGUUGGCCGUGCGUCAACACUGGAGCUAGCGCGAGGGCAGGAUGGGGUGGGGUUGCGGGUCGGUCGGGGCUUUGACGCCGCCUGGACGGCGGCCGCGGGGAGCCUUGGGCAGGCCUGGCUGGCAGGGGGAGCGUCCACGCACCAGGAACGUAGCAUACGGUGCGUGCUCGAGGGGGCGCGAGGGCACGGCGCCCUCGCUCCGGAGUGAGCCCUGAACUAGCUCAGCUGCGCCCCCACACUGCAACGGGCCCAAAGGGCCGCUGUGCCGUGUCGCACACCUGUCCCCUCCGCCCCUGCGCCCUUCCGCCUCUCCGCUCCGCCCAUCCUCUGCGCUCCUCCCCCCUCCUGCUAUACUACUGUACCUGGCUACGCCUUUACUUCAUAAAUAACCAUGAAUGUAACCCCUCUCAGGUCGGUCAGCUACUGCCCGGCCGCCUACUACGCCGACCGCGCCGCCUUCAGGGGCCGCACACUGCUGGUGAGAGGGAGGGGGGCAGGGGGCAGCAGAGGGGGCAGGGUAUGGGAGGGGGCAACAGGGGUUGUAAAUACCAGCCCAAAGUGAGUCAAACCAAGGGGCCAGGGAUUGAGUUCGUGCCCAAACACCAGACACUAUCACUUUCUCACCCAAGCAUACCAGUGGGGAGGGAGCUGCGCCGGUGCGUGGGUACGUGGCACGCAGGUUGGCAUUGCGGGCACGUCCGCUGACCUUGCUCCCCAACCCCACCCCGCCCACUUCGUCCCCAUCUGGUAACGACUUUGUCUGCAGUCUUCAGCGCAUCCUGUACCGCUUUUCCAGCCAUCCUUGCCCCCUCCCCAACCCAAACCCACCCCGCCCCUCCCACCCACUCCGCAGGCCGCCUCCUCCUCCGCCUCUGACAGCGCCUCCGAGUCCGGCAGCCGAGCCGGCCGCGGCGCGGGCGCGGCUGAGGGCGGCGCCAGCGCCCCGCCCACCUUCGCCGGCAUCCACCGCAACCUGUCCAACGUGCUGUACUUCAUGUAGAGAGAGCGCUGUGGAGCAGCAGGGCGGCUGGGGGCGGAGGGGCACAGGCCGACAGGCGGCAGGGGGGAUGGAGGAGCACAGGCGGCAGGGUGGAUGGAGGAGCACAGGCGGCAGGUGGGGAUGGAGGAGCACGCAGUAGCUGGCGUGUGGGCAGUAGCAGCUGCGCGGGUGGUGGAGAGAGCUGCGAGCUGGAGGAGAGAGCUUGGUUGUUCGGAGCGGGGAGGAGCUGGCUCGGAGGUCUCCGUAUGGAAGGGGCAGGGGCGGCAAUUUGGGUCCGGUCCGUGAGGGCUAUUGUAAUGGCACUUGGCUGAAUGGCUGAUGCGCAAGUGUACAGUAUUGUGUUUUGGCGGUGUGAAUUUUGCUGCGCGGGUGGAGGAGGAGGUUCAACAGGCGGAGGGAAGGGACUGCGUAGAUACGCACAGGCGCACAGGAACAAGGAAAGUCACAGGCCACGUAUCAGGAUGUGUUCGGAUGUCCGGAUCAGGACACGUGUUGCGACGCUUGGCGUCGUGCACGGGACUGUCUGACAGACUGUAGACAGUGGGCUGGCGUACGGUUGAACAUGGGGGCGGCAAUGUUGUUGAGUUGUUGGUGCACCGUUUCGGCGCACUGCUGCUGGGUGGAUGGUGUGGCUGGUUGGCAGCGUGGGAGGCGCGAGCGAGGGACGCGCAUCAUCAUCACCUGAUGCGCAUGCAUGCCUCCGUGGCAUUGGCCAAAUGGAGGGAGGUGCCACCACAGGCGGGCGGAAGUGGCCGCGAUGCAAGUUUUGUUGCUUAAGGCAGGGGCCAGCCGAGGUCAUGAGGUUUAUCUGAGACGACGGGCGGACGGGUCUGGAGGGGGCUGGGCUAGAGGAUGCCAGGGGCCACAUUCGCCACAGCAGCAGGUGGGGUGCGGGGAGCGAAGGCAGUUGCCCGGUUGCAGUCGAGUCAGGGACGGAGUUGCAAACCUCCAAAUCUCUUCCGCUGUGUGCCUCACUCGUCUCACUGACCUAGUAGAGGCGUGGCAGGCAUCGCUUGUGCGUCACGCUGCAGCGCUGCCGCUGCCUGCCGUACUUGUUCGUCUCGUUUUGUAGGUCGCCCAGCCUGCCGCACAACGGCCUACCGGCCCCACGCACUUACGUACCCAAACACCUGCGCAGCCCCGCCCCCGGCCGGCAGGCCACACUGCGGUAGCCCAAUCCCGGCACACACGACGUAGACAUGCAGCAGCACCGCCGUUGGAUAUUGCAUUGGUUACAAGAGGGACCCGCUGACGCAGUUCACGAGCCAGUGCCGGAAAACGAUCACCUACCCUGCUCUGGACCCCAGGGGCGUGCCGCCGCCUGCAACGCCGUCGGCCUGCUCUAGCUCAAGUAUUGCAAGGCUCCCAUAGGACGCUCCACUCCUCCCACAAGGAGCAGGGCACACCAGGUCCACACCAGACUACCGUAUAGCCACCGCCGCGCAUAUCAUAUGAUCAUAUCUGUUACAAUCCUUCCCCGCCUCAUGCCGGCAUCACAGUUCAUCCAAGUUCAUCCAAGUUCAGGCCACCAAGCACAAUAAUUGAAGGGCCCCCGCACCACCCGCGCCUGCACCAGCAGUGUCCUACCGGCUAUGGCGCACCACGGGGCCUCAAACCUCCCAUGGUGCGUUAGACCUCUAUCUCCAGGAUGUCCUAGCGUCAGAUUUACGCACCUGCUGCUGCGCACUUCGCACUGCCUGGCGGCGUCCUACACGAUACCUUACCAUACCUUACCCAUACACCACACCAUAAGCAGUAUCCCUCACCGCGGCGCACGCUGCAUAUGCCCAACGCCCAGUAGGGACCGCCUGCCGCCACCUGCUACACCUGCCUGCUAGCUAGCUAGCUAGCUACACCUGCUGCCGCGCCGCACCCGCCGCCGCCGCCGAGGAGCCCGCGGCCGCGCCCCCCGCCAGCGCGGCCGCCAGCGCCUUCUCCAUCGCGUCCCGUAGCAGCCGCUCCACAUCCACCACCGUCGCCCCCUCCUCACGCCCCGGCCCCUGAUGAUACCCGCCCGGCGACGGCAUGGCCGCCGCAUGUGCCGCCGCGGGGGAGGCCACCUCGGGCUUGAAGGACACGCGCGGCACCAGGAAUGCGCGCGGGUCCGUCGCCGACGCGACGCCGCCCCGCACGCCGCUGCGCCCCGUCUGGCCCAGCGCCAGCAGCUGCUGCUGCCCCGGCUGCUUGGACUGCAGCAGCUUGCGGAUGCUGCGCACCUGCGGCGCGCGGGAUGAAGACGGAGGCAUGCCCGGCGAUGGUGCACGUCAGUGGGGCAGAGGAUGGAAUGGGAGCACGGCGGUGUGCGCCCAGGCACCCUCCCCUCUACCGCCCAGGCACCUGCCCUCUACCACCAGGCACCCUCCCCUCUACUGCCAUCACCACCACCAUCCUCGGCAGCAUGUAUGAGCAGCACGGCGCGUGGCGUGUUCCUGCGAAGGGGGCUACUGCCGCUGGUACCUGCCUCGUCGCGACCCUCCGCCCACCCACACCCUCCCACACCCUCCCACACCCUCCCACACCCUCACACACACGCACUCCACCCCCCCCCACACACACCCUCCCCCCCCAAAACACACACACACACACACACACACACACACGCACCUGCGCUCGGCUGCCCCGCAGCUCCGCCAGCUCGCGCUGCUGGCGCUCGCUGAUGCGCGGUGCCAUGGGGCCGUACACCGCCACCAGCGCACGCACCAGCUGAGAGGCAGGAGGAGAGGGAAGGGUGGGGGGAGGGGUGGCGAGGAGGUGAGUGGGGAGGGGAAGAAAGGGGCCGGUGAGGGCGCGAGACACUCAUUACGGACAUGCAAUGGGCAUGCCACGACGCGUCCCAUUCGGAGAUGCAGCUGGCUGCAGCUGGAAGAGAAGGGGCUGCAGCUGAACAGAAUCAAGCCAGCUUGAACUUAUGCCUGAACUCAGAGCCGAGCUUGAACUCAUGCCGCGCCGCCCUGCCCACCUUCUUCAGGUUCUCAUCGUGUCCGUCCAGCGAGCUUGCCAGGAAGGGCCAGAAGGGGUUGGGCCGGGUGGUCAUGAACACGGCCCUGCACCACAGCCCCGACAGCGUGGCCGCCCGCCCGCACCAGCUCCGCCUCCACCAGCUCGACAGCCGCUGCCGCCACCCCGCAACCACAGGCGAAGCCUGCUGCUGCGUCUGCAGCGGCUGCUGCGUCUGCUGCGUCUGCUGCGUCUGCUGCUGCGUCUGCGUCUGCGUCUGCGUCUGCUGCUGCUGCUGCUGCUGCUGCUCCGGCCCCGGUGACGGCUGCGGCCCCGGGCCCGGCGACGGCGAGGGCGGCGGCGACGAACCCUUGCCGCCCGCGCCACUGCCAUCAUCGGCAACCGGAGCCGGGUCAGCGGGCGCCAGCGGCGGCGCGGGGGCAACCGCGCCCCCGUACGCAGCCGCGGCGGCGGCGGCACUGGCGCGGGGGCGGCCAAAGUGCUGCUGCUUGUAGUCCCAGCAGCGCUGCCACGCGCGCUCCACCUGCGCCUGCAGCGCCAGGCCCGCGCGGCACGGCCCCUCCACCAGCAGCCGCAUCACCUCCGCCUCGUAGGCCUGUCCGUGCGCGGGGAGGGGGGAACCCACGCGUGCAUUACGAGAUUGUAAGUGCGUACGAAUGUACAUGGGAACUUAACGUGUGCGUGGGGUCGCAGCACGUGACCGGAGGGCCGGUGGGCAAGUGCAUGACAUGCACCCUGCCUCGGUUGACCCACACCCGCACCCUGUCACGCUCCAACAGCGCACACCCGAGCAAAGACACAACGCACGCCCCAGCAAAGACACAACGCACGCCCCAGCAAAGACACAGAGCACACCCCAGGCCGCCGCACACGCAGGCCAAGUAAGCCCAAGCCCACCUCCACGUAAAAUUUGAGCUCCACUGUGUCAAGCAGCACCACCGACGCCCGGUCUGGGUCCGCCACCUCAUCCUCCAUCGGGUGCACGUGUGCCGCAUGCAGCGGCGCCGCCGCGGGCGCGGCGCCCUUGCCGGGCGGCGGCGGCGGCGAGGAGGGCGGCGGCGGUGUCGCCGGCGCUACCUUGACGGGCGCGGAGGUGCGCGCCGACGCCUUCUUGGGCCGCGAGGAGAAGGUCUGCAGCUGAGGCAGCAGCCGCACCGGGCCCCACUGCGCAGCCGCACCGCUGCCGCCACCAGCGGCGGCGGCCGCGACGUUGCUGCUUCCCAUCGGCGCAAGGCGGCCGCCGCCGCCGCCGCCGCCGCCGCCGCCACCGCCGCCGCCGCCGCCGCCACCACCACCGCUGCCCCUGAACCUCAGGCGCCACAUGCUGUACACCGCCUCCGCGUCCUCCAGGUCCGCCAGGUCCGCCUCCUCCUCCUCCGGCGGCUGGCCCUCCUCCGCCGCGCCGCCGCCGCCGCGAGCCGCACCGCCGCCCUCCUUGGCGCCGCCGCCGGAGCUCAAGCGCGGGACCUUGCCGGCCGCCUCAAUCGCCAGCAGUGCCGCCGCCGGCGGCUCGGUAGUUGCAAAAGGGCUCGCCUGGUGCCUGGCCGCCGCCGCGGUCAGUGGCGGCGGCGGCGGCGCCGCCUCAUUGUUGCCUGCGGCGGCGGAGCCGGCGCGGUGACCGCUGCCGUUGCCGCCGCCGUCACCAGCUGUGCUGUCAUCCAAAUCCUCCGGCUCCUCCGCAAGCACGGCCAGCACAGGCGCCGGCCGCAGGGCCUUGUUGGAGCCCUCAGAAAGCAGGCCCACGCCGCCACCGGUGCUGCUGCCGCCGCCGGCGGGGCUGCUGCCGCCAGGCGCCGGGUCCGCCCCGUCACGUCCUCCAGCCGCGGUGCCCGGUGUCAGGUGAGUUGCGGCAACUGAGUAACUCAAGGCGAUUGGCUUGUUUGCCGCUCUCGUUGCGAGCUCGGCUGCUGCGGCGGCGGCCGCCUCGCUCCGCGCCUCCUCCACAGCGUGAACCUAAAGUGCCGAGAUGGGUGAAGAGCGGCAGUACUGUCAGGCUCCUAAGAACCCCUGCAUGCACUUGCUCCUGUAAGGAACCUGCAGUCGACUUUUACUUGACAUCGCCAAGCCGGCCAAAGCAAUCAAUGACAUGCUUACAGCGACGGGGCUCUAGUGCCACCAAUUAUCGUUCAUGCCGCAUGCAGUUCUUCCACAAGGUUUCUUCCCGCUCACCGGCAGCACGUUGAGGCGGCUCAUUGCCUCGUCGUCAAAGAACGCGACCAGCGCCGCCAUUUGCGGGCUGGAGGCCAGGCGCCAGCGCGCCAGCGUGAAGGAGAAGGUGCGGGUGGGGUCUGCGAUGCGGCAUCGCAAGACAGGCAAAGGGCUGAGCGGGCAGGGACCAAUGCAGAGGAGCAGCGAGCCAAGUGGAGGAGCUAGAGGGGCUAGAGGAGCUAGGGGAGCUAGAAGAGCUAGAGGAGGAAGUGGGCGGAGGACGGGCAACGGACGGAUGGCUGCCGCGCCUCGCUCCCGCCCCUUCAUUCCCCAAGCAGCCGCCCCCCUGCACGGCUGCACCCACCUCGCAGCGUGCUGCCUUUGCUCAGGAUGAGCAGCUUCUGGCGCUGCUGCUGCACAAACCUGCCGCGGCAGAAAGCAACGGAUACAGUACGAAUGAUUAUUAGAGCACCGCGGCCUUCUUAAGGGCCUUGCCAACCAGACCCCCCCCCGCCCUCUCCUGCUCCCCAACCCCAACCCGCCAGCCCCAGCCCACCAAUCCCCCAAAGCAACAAACCCAUCUGCUGGGUGCCGCCACCCUCAACCCUACCCUACCUGCAGAGCGCCGCCACCCUCUCCUCCUGCCCAACCAGACCCACCAAUCCCCUCAACCAAACCAACCCUACCCUACCCUAAUAACCACCACCGCACCUGCUGGGCGCCGCCGCCUUCCGGGCGUCGCCCGCCGCCAGCAGCUCGAAGUCGCGCAGGUGCGCCUCCGCCCAGUACAGCCGCAGCCGGUACGGCAGGCCGUACAGGUACCAGCCCGCCCGCCAGAGCGCCAGGCGCCAGGCAGGGACGGCUCUGGACGCGGGCUGGGGCAGGGGCUGGGGCUGCUGGGGGUGGGGCUGGAGUUGGGGCAGGGGCUGUUGGGGCUGGAGUUGGGGCUGUUGGGGCUGGGGGGGUUGCUGGGCGGGGUCGGCCGCGCCAGCGGGACUCGACAGAGGCAAGGAGGGCUGCGGGGACGGGGUUGGGCCCGCACCCGUGCCCGCACCCGCACCCAGGUCACCGCUGUGCGACGCAGCUGUGAGCGCCACAGGCGCCUGCUGCGCGCCGCCUGCGGAGCCCGGGCCCGGGCGGCCGUUCUGCGUCACUUGCGGCCGCAGGUAGCGCCGGAUGGAGCCCAGCCGCUGCUGCUGCUCCUGCUCGCCGGCCAUGCGGAACGUCUGUGCGCGCUGGAGCUCCGGCUGGCCGGGGCUGGUGCCGCUGGCGGCGGUGCCCACGCCCAGGCCAGCAGUAGCACCCGCGCCGCCAGCCGCAGGCGCGCCGCCACCACUCGAGCCGCCCACGACCAAGCCAUCCGCAUCCGACACGGCAUCAUCGCUCACGCCGUUCUGCAGCGCGUAGGCCCGGCUCCAGUACACCCAUUGCUGCAUGCCCGCUCCGCUGCUGCCGCCCGGCCCCGGCAGCCGCCCCUGCGCCUCACCGGCACCCGCUACCCUGCCCGUCGUCCCCACCGAGCCCUGCGUCUUCUCGCCGGGACUGGCGGCCUUCGCGCGCGCCUGCUGCUUGCGUAGGUGGGCGUCGUAGCACGUGACACCGAGCGGGUCCGUGACCAGCGCCCACACGAGCGUGAGCAAGUAGUUGCGGGCGCGGUAGGUGAGGAGGAAGCAGAAGUCGUAGAACGCGUGCAGCAGGAAGAUGGAGUCCUGGGCACCGCUGGCCGCCGCGCCCUGCUUGGCCGUCUCGUAGGCGCGCGUGAAGAUCUGUGGGCGGCGGUGGCAGUGGGGUGGAGCCAGGCGCGGGGCCAGAGGUGGGUGCGCGUGGUGGUGAGGGAGACGGGCGUUGCGGAGAACACAGGCGCACUCUUGGCGGCAAUGCCAUGGUGCACGUAGAUAGCGCGAGGCCAUGUGUGUGCAACCCCAAGCACACACCCUCCCCGCCGACGCCCCACCUGCUCACACUACGGUACUGUCCCACAGCCGCAAACAUGCACGUCUGCAGCUGCCCGCGCCACUCACCGCCAGCAGCGUGUUCUGCACAACCAGCACCAGCAGUAGCACGCUCACCCUGAGAAGAGGUAGAACAGGGGAAGGGCGGUGGUGGGAGGAGGUGGGGUUUGCGGGCGGCAGCAUGGCAUGCGUGUCAAACCCGGGCCCAGCCCCCCCCCCUCCGUGCAGCCGCCCCACAGCACCCGCCGGCUGUGCGGCACACAUGCUUCAUGUGCACGUGCACAAAGGCGUUUCGUUCAGUCGCCUGCGACCCACGCCUGCGCGGCACCCUCCCGUGACUGUGCACGGCCCCUGCACCCGCCCGGUACCCGCUGUAAAUCUGUGAUGCUGCCAAGGAGAAGGAGCCCGUGGGCAUUGCAUGCACGCAUGGCACACGGCCUCACCAGAACAGCACCACCACUGCGGCGCCGUAGGAGCCCAUGCCGUUUCCGCUCUGCAUGUCGAUUGGGCACGGAUGGUGGCGCACGGGCGUCAGGGGCGAGCGGGUGAAGGCGGACUAGUUGGGGCGGAUUAGCGAACUAAUCCCUGUGACACGCUUGUGCUACGCACUCCUGCUACGCAUAUGCCCGGCUCUGGCUCACAUUCACGAAUGUGUCGUAAUCCAAGAAGCCGAAGGACAGGCGUGUCAGGGCGGACAGGCCCGACCCAAACGCCGUGAACACGCUGUUGCCGCCGGAGAUAAUGAAGACACCUGAAAUACGAACGCGGGGCGAGCAGCUAUUAUUGCGGCGGGUUGGCGCGCGUUAGAAUGGUGAAGGCAAGACAGUGGCGCGGCACACGUGUACGGCCAGCUGGUGUACGGGACCGUAUCCUCCACCAGACCCUUCAGAUCGCAAGUCCUCAAUCUCACGCAGAAUUAUACGCCACAUCAGGCCAUCACGUUCUAAAGCGCUACUCACCGAAGAUGGCUGUGGCGAGCAGCACCGCAAUGCCGAUCACGAAGGUCGCGAACUCCAGGAUGUCGUAAUAGGCAAGCCUGCAUGCACCGGUAUGCAGCACGUGGCGGCCACCGCCGUAACUCCCAAGCCGCUUCGCAACGCUUCUCAACCGAACGGCGACCUCUCUCCCAAGCGCGCCCACACGGCCCCCCCGGGUUUAGUUUGGGCUGGUAUUUGCACCCCCCCCCCGCCCCCCGCGCCCUCCCCCGCCCGCGACUGCGCCCGCCUCCACCCAUGCCAUCCUUGCCCGUACCACCCGCUCCCUGACGCACCUGAAGAGCGUGUAGAAGAUGCGCAGUCCGUCGUGGUGCUUGAGGUACCUCAGGCUGCGCAGCCCCGCAAUCAGGAACAUGGCCAGCCCCAUGUACAGCCACGCCGUGAACAGCUGCGCGGAGGAGGACAGCGAGGCCAGCUCCUGCGUGCAGCAGGUGCAGGCAGCCAGGGGCGGCGGUAGGUGAAGCGAAUUUUGUUGUGGAUCGGGGUUGCGGGACGAGGUGGGAAGGGAUGGGAAGGGAUGGGAAUGGCAUAGGGAGGGAAGGGAAGGGAGGGCAGCAAACGAGCAUGGCAUGCCGGGGCCGAGACGCGUGCCAGCGCGCGCCAUCCGCGACCACCCGCUUCCACGGCACGGCACCCACUUCGGACUCAUAGGCCCCCUGGUGAGCCCGGCCUGCUCCCGCCGACCCCUCGCAAACACCGGGCCCGGCCUGCUCCUUCCGACCUCCCGCCAACACCGGGCCCGGCCUGCUCCCGCCGACCCCUCGCAAACACCGGGCCCGGCCUGCUCCUUCCGACCCCAGCCAACGUACGCAGUUACGCACCUUUGCGCUCUGCGGGUAGCUGGCCAUGGCGGCGCGGGUGACGGCGUGCAGGUGCAGCCAGAUGCAGAUCCACGCCACCAUGGUCAGCUGGUGCAGGAUGUCCAUGCCGUGCCACGUGAAGGGGUGCCUGGGGUGGUGGUUGGGUGGUGGUGGUCGUGGUUGUGGUGGUUAUGGUUGUGGUGGUUGAGGUUGUGGUUGUGGUGGUGAUGGUGGCUGUCAACACGGUAAGCAGCCCGUCCGUGGGGAUUAGUGAGAAGUGAAGCAGAAGGUUGCAACGCGUGCCCAAGGAAGUUCCCAAGUACUCAUGAAAGUCGCCCAAGCGCUAGUAACCCCCGGCCCAGACAGGCACGCCCAUCACGCACCUGGAUCCCGAAACGAUGUAGGCCCACAGCCCACGUCCCUGCUGCCGCGCCAGCAGCACCGCGUGCACUGUGGCCACGAUGUCGGCGAUUGAGGCGAAGAUGACCAUCGCCAUGAAGAAGUUGCCUGGUGGUGGUAGGUGUGGAGAAGAAGCAAGCAUUUGUGGUGUUUGCAAGAUAUGAAGUUAAUGGGGUUGCAAAGUGAUUGGGAAAGCGGUACAGGACAGGAAAGGGCAGCACAGUGGGUUUGAUGUGCGCUCCUGGGCUGCGGUGGGACACGGGAAUGGAUGCGUGACGCGUGCAACGCCUUUGCAAGCGCCUCCAUUUCUGCACGCAGGCCCUCAGACACACACGCACCCGCAGGGCGCCAGUUGAGGUUGUAUGUGAGCGACAGCGUCCGCGUUUCCAGACGGCCGCGGUUCGAGUCGCGUGUGGCCUGUGUGAGUCGAGAGGCGAGCACUGGGGGGUGAAAGACUAUCGAGCACUAGCCAGCCCUAGCACGGUCAGGUCGGCCUGCGCUGGAGGCAUUCAGCUCCAUAAUGUCAGUAGACUCCCACCCUGGUGCAUCAUCAAUGUUGUCAACGAGAUAAGCCAAAGAGGGGACAUUGUCCAAUGCAGUCAGUCAUUCGGCUUCACGCCCGCCGGUUGUAUGGGUUUGCAAAGCUGCUAUCAAUGCCCCUAGGGAACAAAGGAACCCCCAUACGGUAAGAGCACAGGCGCCAGAGUCUUGUAUUUUGCACUAAGACUACAACCAACAGUAUGGAGGGUGAGAUUCACGGUAUCCGCUCACUGGCAUGCAUGCCAUACCCUGAACGCCCAUACCCAGCUUAUCCCGCCUCUUUCGCCUCCACUGCUUCCUCCAUCCCUCCCCCCGGACCCGACGCCCCCCGACCCGACGCCCCCCGCCCCUCACCUCCAUGUAGAACAGCACGUUGCUGUCGUUGUUGCGGCGGUCGUGUGCGUGCAGCCCCAGCUGCACCUGCGUCGCGUACUUGCCCACCACGCCGCGGCAGGAUCCCAGUAGGUAGGCCAGAGACUCCUGAGGUCACAGGUCGAGGCGAAAGGCAGGGCAGCACGUGGGGGAUCUUCCCCGCGCAUGACCAAACAUGUAAGCCCUGCCCGCCUAGCAAACACGUACAGCCCUCAGCCGCCACGCACGUACCCGUCCCGCGCUCCACACCACGCACACACGUCAUCUCCCCACCCCCGGCGCUCACCUUCAUCUCCUCCAGGCUGACCUUGCCCGCAAAGUCCGGCCACAGCCGCACCAGCUCCACCACCGCCCGGUUCUUGGCAUCCCGCCGGAAAAUGCGCGGCGCCUUCGCGGCCGCCCCGCCGCUGCCGGGGGCGCUGUAGCCUUUCACCGCGUCCUCCUGCAUGUAGGCCCGCAGUGUGCGCGGCAGGCCCGUCUCCGGGUGCGCGCAAAAGCAAGCGCUGCCAGCGGCACCCGCCUGCUGCUCCGAUCCGCCGCCGCCGCCGCCGCCUCCCCCGCCGCCGCCGCCGCCCGCGAUGGGGGCGCAGCGCCUGUGCGAGUACACAGGGGAAAGGCAGCUUUUGGGGAUGGCUGGUGGGUGCCUGGGUAGGAACUAGGAGGACAGGUGUGCACACACGCGGCCAGCAAGCAAGCAAGGGGCAAGGGGCAAGGGGCAAGGGGCUAGCAUGGGCGUACGAAACCGCAGGUAGCGCUAGGCGAGCUCCAGGACUCCUGCUUUGCGCCAGCCAGCCCAGCAGCAAGCAAGGUGCAAGGCGGCGCUGCUGUGCCGCGGUAGCAGCAGUGAGUCCCAGCAGUAGGCUUGCGCCCUCACACACGCACCGAAUGUAGCCGGCGGCACAUGUCUUGCCAUCCGGCGGCAGGUCCAAAACUCCCGAACCUGCGCACGUCGCAAGGGGCGCGUGGCACCUGACUGUCCUGCCACCACCAGCACACAUCCUUUCCGUGCGCCCAUGUAAAGCUGGAAACGACACGUCUUGUUAACUUGUUAUAGGACUAGGCAACGAACCGGGUCCGCUCGUGCACCACAUACAGCCACGCUUGACCCAGAGCUGGACUACCGGCGUAUUGCCACCACCCAAGCCACACACACGCCGCGCUCGCACCACUCCCUGACCUCCCUCCGCUGCAGCAUGCUCGCCCCAGCUAGCUAGCUAGCUGCCCUUUUCCCCUGACCCCUUCACACACACGCUCCCCCAAACCCCACGCACCGUCCCUACACACACACGCUCCCCCAAACCCCACGCACCGUCCCUACACACACAUGCUCCCCCAAACCCCACGCACCGUCCCUACACACACACUCUCCCCCAAACCCCACGCACCGUCCCUACACACACACGCUCCCCCAACCCCCACGCACCGUCCCUACACACACACUCUCCCCCAACCCCCACGCACCGUCCUCGUAGUAGUCGUACGGCUGCGCGCCGCCGCUGCCCGGCCCUUCCUUGCGCGUGAGCCGUCCCACCAGGUCCAGGAACGAGUAGUAGUCCACCUAGGUAGAUAGCGUGGGUAGUUAGCGUGGGUGGGUAGCGUGGGUUGGAGGGAGGCGAGGAGGGAGGUGGUAGCAGGCAAUAAAGAAACGUGGUCACGCGUGGCACCUGACCCCGUCCAAUACAUGUGGGGACCUGGCGUACAUGACUUCCAACCCACAUGGAUUUUGCAAGCCCCCGUUGUCACCUACCUCGAAGUCUGACAGCUCCUGACUGUACCGACUGUUGAACAACACGUUGCGGAUGUUGUUGGUCAGCGGGUCCUCGGGGCCGUCGGCAGGAUCCACGACCAGGGUUCGUGGCGACAGAUCCACGCAAUUGUCCGCAAGAUCCAGGAUCCCGGACGUGAGCUGUGAGGUGGGCAGCUGCUGCUUCACGCCCAGCAGCGGCACGGUUGUGGGCAGAUCAGACACGCCGCCACCGCCCGCCGCAGCGCCUCCCAGCGUGUACCUGUGAAGACAAGUUACAGACACUCUCAAUCGUUCUGCACAAAGCGUGCAGGUGCCACGCAAGCUCCCGGUACAAGGCACGUGACGGCGAGGCACUUGGCCGUGGCCCUCGCUUCGGUGCCGCACACGAUCAAUGCACCCACCUCCUCAGGUUGGUGUCAUCGAGCAGCGGCGUGAGGCUACCGCGCAGCUUCUGCAUAGUCUCACGCACUCUGCUCUUGGCGUCCGCAGAGGGGCAGGUGCUUGCAAACUUGAUCUGCACGAACGAAAUAAACGGCGUGUACGAAUAUGGCGUUUACCGCACGGUUCGUUGCGCGGAUUCAUUCACUGCCAAGCAAGGACAUGCAUGCGCGUGGCACACACGCUGCCGUACGUGUGUGGAGUUUGGAGGCCGGUGGGCGCGUGUGACAAGUCCAGUCUUGCCCCACCCCCGCCCCCUACCCCUCCGCCUACCCCUCCGCCUACCCGCCGCCCCCUCCUCGCUCCCGCCCCCACCUCCUCCUCCUCGCUCCCGCCCCCACCUCCUUCGCUCCCGCCCCCACCUCCUCCUCGCCUGCUGCCUACCUCCUUCGCUCCCGCCCCCACCUCCUCCUCCUCCUAGCCUGCCUACCUCCAGCUGCGCAUAGGUCACGUGCGCGAAGUCGCCCAGGUACAGGAAGCUGCCGGCCUCGGGCGCCACCUCGCCGGAGCUGCGCAGCGCGUUCUGCAGGUACCUGCUCGGAAAGCGGAGCGGUGCCGUUACGGCGUUGAUGGCGCGUUAUGCGUUGAUGGCGCGUUCUUUCCUGCUUAGUGCGGCUGUACUGAGUUUUUCAUGCCAGAUUAAAUAAAUGGCAGACCAAUGUUUGAAGAAGAGGUGGGGGCAUGGAGGUAAGACAGCUGAGCGGCGAGGGAGGGUGGGCCGGACGAGGCGCCUUGCUACUGCCAGGUAGGCACGCGUGUAACGCGCCAUGUAUGAACGUGUACGUGCACGCGCACGCGUGGUGCUCGCCAUCAAACUAACACAGGCGCCUCGCUGUGUCGUACAGCGGCAGUUUAAUUAACAACACUCACUGGAUCAUGUACUCGAAGGCUUCGGAGGUGGAGCCCACACCGUUGAGGUUGGAGGACUCCCAGGCGUUACCCGUGUCGUAGGACUGCGCGCAUGGCCAUGAGGUGUGGGCGAAUGGGAGGUGGGAAGCAGGAGGAAGCAAUUGUGAUUGUGAGCGUGCGGACGGCGGCAAUAAGGGACCGGGAACACAGCCCCGUCGCGAGUCAACAAAAUCGGCACAGGCAAAGCUGCAUUUGGUCCUUGCUCGCGAUCAUCUUCACAUACGGUAGACAGCAGCCGCUCCACCCCGCCCCGCCCCCUUCUUGAAUGCAGUAAACACGCCGCCCCCCUACCACCCCCCUCAGGGAGCAUCCUCGGCACCCUCACCGCGAAGGAUGCAAUGACGCUGCUCUUGAAGGCCGUGGCGCCGGUCUCGGUUUGGAACCUGAAUCCAGUUUGGCGGCGGAAGGCGCGGCACACAGUCGGAAAGGCGUACGUGCAGGUGUGGCCGUCGGGCCUAGUAAGCACUGCGCUUUGUACAUCCACUCCAUCGUCCCAUCAUCGCACCCCUACCCGCCCCGUUGCGACACUCACCACACAGCCAGGAAAGUGAUGAUGAAGAAGAUGCCGUACGCGUACAGCUUCUUGAUGCCGUGCCAGCUGUACGAAUCCAGCAGCGCGUUCUCCACGAACACGCACCCCUCACUGUCCCAGCCGCCUGCGCCGCUGCCGGGAAUGGUCCCCGCGCCCCGGGACCGCACGCGCUGUAGCACAGAGGGCUGCGGCUUGAGCUGCUGGGAUGACUGCGCCUCAGGCUGUGGCUUAACGGCGUCAUCGCCGCGAGCGCGCAGGGGCCUGGUUACGUUCGCAACAGCACCGUCUGCUGCGUGGGUGAUAUCCACAUCACCAACGCUGCCAGCGGCGCGCCCACCAGUGCCGUCGCCGGCGCUGCUACUGGGGGUAGCAUUGACGGCACCGCGGGGCUUUGGGUCAGCUGGCAGCUCCUUCACAACGUUAGGAGAGCUGGAGGCUUCAGUGGCGCCGGAGCCAAGGCCCGCCGGCGCUAUGGCAACGAUGCAUGCAUCGACCGGAUCGUCGCCGGCGCUGCUGCUGGUCGGCGUUGCUGUGGCGCCGUCAGGGCUGCUUGGUGCUGUCACGCCACUUGGGGCAGUGGCAGUAGUCUGCGGGUCAUCCUGGGAAAGAGCAGGAUGGGCAGGCGUAGCGGCAGCGGUUGGUGAAGAUGGCGCCGAGGCAUCGUCGGCUGUGGGGCCCUGGGGGCCGCCUGGCCCCGCCAGGUUCCCAGCUGGCUCCGCAGCGGCGGUUGGGGCACUCGGGCUCGCCGAGGCAGACGCGGCUUGUGAAGCGGCUGUAUUGGCCAGAAAUGGCCAUAUGUUUGUGGGCAUGCCUCACAACGCGCGCCCGCCGUGCCUGAGGCGAGUUGAAGCGCGACAUUGCGCGUCACAAACGUCAGGCGGCCGUGCAUCAUCGAGGCGGGCCCAAGCACACAAUGCAAAUGGCACAGUGAAUGAGCCGAUAACAACGCGCGCCCGCAAAACCGGUCAGGCAUGAACCGCGCCAACGGGCGUCUUGUCGCUGCCAACACAAGUGCAAGCGCUAUGCGAGGUAACUAUGCGUAGACAGCAAUGUUUUAGGCAGCUACUCACGUGCAGCAAGCGAGCAGCGCAGGUUGCUCUCACGCCCCGUGCGGCGCAGCCUUCCUAAAAUCGAAAAGAUAGGAGCCUAUGAUCUGUUGAUGGUGCAUAUGGCUAUCUGGUAGCAGCCUCAAAAUACGCUCUCAAAAUGGCUCAUCGACGACAAGAACGUUUAAGAUCCAGCAGCGUCCGGAACUAGCAUUUGGCUUGCCCGCAGAGCGCAAGGUAUCGCAUUCUCUGGCAUAUGGCUACAUGGAUUUUAGCAGCUGCGCGCUAAGCGAACUUCAUGCGGUCUGGUCGCCCUGGUGGAGCCAGCAGUGCGAAAGUAACCGCGAACCAUGGCACGAACUCAACUGAGCAGCAGUGCAAACUGAUUAAACAAACCAAGCAUGCGAGCGAAUGGAGGAAAACGGGUCGGGCUGGAAGUCUGUGCGAAAGUCAGCCAUUCCAGACCGUGUCUGCUCCCGCAUGCUCCAAGCAAUGAUCAGCACAAACUGUAAUACUGUGACGAGCUAUGCGGCCCUUGUUUGCGUCGAGACAGGUCGACAGUUUGCGAACCCACGAAUCCUAGGAUCAUGCGACGGGCUGAUAAAAUAUGAAAUACAGAGUGCAUUUUAUUAUGAGAUGUUAUCAUGCACACCAGGCAACCCUUCGCGCAUGCUGACGUGUCAAGGCCUCCUGGUCGAACGUCGAGACCUGGCUAGCAAAACAUGCGGCCUUACGGAUUGCAACUUACAUCGGUAUCCAUCACAUCAUGGCUGCUAGCGCGCAUAGCUGGCCAGUUUCAUCGGGGCUGAAAAGCGUCGCGGAGGGGCCGAAAAGUUUCGGUUCAAGGGUCGCCCCCUCUCGCGCGAUGGGCCGCAAUGAGACGUACAGCGCUCGGAGCGCGUAUAUAAUCACUGGAAUUGCAUGCACCGCAAUCACUUCCUCGAGCUGUCGCAUAGAUCGCCUUUGCGCUCGCAACUCCCCGUUGCUUUUGAGCCCUCGCCGCCCUCUGCGCCCUCCUCGCUGUAACGCAAGGUCAGUGUUUGUUUUUCACACCGUGACCGUGGGUGAGCAUGCAGUUGGCUCUGCGCCUGGGGCUUUGCGUGCAACGGGACCAGGAAUUGCGUCUGCACCCAGUUGUGGGCGUUGUGGGCGUUGCGUUGCAUACGGGCAUGUGGGCGCGCGUCGCAUGGUCUUGUGUUGUGUCCAUAGUCACAAUUGGCAUGGGGCGCGGGCGCGUUAGGCUGCAUGAGGGUGCUAGGCUGGUUACGGCCCGGUACCACAUUGCCCAGGCGCUUGCACUCGCACUCGCACAUGUUCUUGUUCAUGCUAACAACCGGCCGCACGGCCUCGGAUCACCAGGGGUGCUCCCACCAUGUAUUCGCACAGACUCGCGCGCUCGCGGCCGGCAUUGCCGGCCCGGGACGUGAUCUUGCGUUGCAUUGCGGGCAGCUGAGAAAGACCCUCACCACCGGAACGAGAUAAUGCUCGCGUCGGGAGUGUGUUUCCGUGCCUGCGCGUGCGUGCGUGCGGCGCCUGGCGCGGCUGACACCCUUCCCAUGGGUCGGCCGCGUCUGGCGUCCGCCGCCGCCGUCGCCUUCCCCCCCUCUCCCAUCUCGCCGGUGUCAUCUUCAGACUCGACAUUGCUAAUUGGCAUCGGCUUCUCUCGCUCUCUGGCGACGACUGCUGCGGCGCUGGCCUUAUCAUUCGGGCAUGUCACUGACGGUAAGUGAGAAGGCUUCGGUUUUGUGCCGUCAACUUCUAGGGUGUCUGCGCUACUGCGUAAGAUGCCGCCCUGCCUGCCUGUGUCCAGCGCUGGCUUCUUCCGCCCAUCCGCAACCCGCCCCUCAUCCUGCCUGCUUGCGGUGCUUGCGCGCGCAUUGGGGUCUCCUCCUCCCCCUCCCCUCUCUCCUCACCCCUUCCCGGGCCACGCUGCCUCCGUGCAAUGCGUUGGGCGGCACACAGCCCCUCGCAUCGGCCCGCGCCCGCGCUGCUCGCCCGCCCGCCUCCUCCCCCCUGCCCCUCCUUUCUCAACCUUCCAGAACCUUCUUCACCAAAGAUGGCCAUCAAGAUGAACCUCGCCUCCUCCAAGGUCGGCGCCAAGGCCUCCGCCAAGUCCGUCCGCGGCGCCCGCCUGGUGGCCCGUGUGGCCCAGCCCAUGUCCCCCAGCAGCGCCGCCACCGCCGCCGCCGAUGCCUCCAUGCUGGCCCGCGCCGGCCUGCCGCCCACCACCACCCCCUACGACGACUACAAGUUCGCGCCCAUCCGUGAGGCCGAGGUGAGCGCGUGAUCCUCGGGCGUGUAGGAGCAGUGCCGACCUUGGGCCAUAUUGCCUGCUUGGGAUCCAUCAUGCCAGCAGCUUGGGUUCUUCUUGCGUUUUUGCUUCCCUCCCAUCCCCCACCACAUCCCCCACCACCGUUCCUACCCCGACCCUUGUUCCCCCCCACCUUCCCCCCACCCGCUCGCCCGCAGGUCAACCGCGCCAUGACCCGCCGCUACUUCAAGGACAUGGACGAGUUCGCCGAGUCCGACGUGGUCAUCGUGGGCGCCGGCAGCGCCGGCCUGGCCUGCGCCUUCGAGCUGGGCCGCAUCGCGCCCCACCUGAAGGUCAGUCAGUGCGCAGGCUGAGAGGGUUAGGUGGAUUGUGCACGUUUGCUGCCUGCCAGCAGCGUGUAGGACGGCUUGGCUUCGAUUGAACAAGUGUGGGAAAGGUGGUGCGCUGUGAGUACGUGUGUAUGUUGCUUUCGCGCUGCCUCCUUCCCCGCUCCCUCGUUCCCCGGCCACCACCUCGCCGCCGUAUUCAUACGUCUCGUGUGCCCGCCACCCCAUCCUCUCUUCCCACUGCUCAGGUGGCGCUGAUGGAGCAGUCUGUGGCCCCCGGCGGCGGCGCCUGGCUGGGCGGGCAGCUGUUCAGCGCCAUGGUGGUGCGCAAGCCCGCCCACGAGAUGCUGGACGCCCUGCAGGUGAGGAGGAGGCAAUAUGAGCGAUCCAUUGUCUUCCAAGAAAGUUUCUUUGGUUGCCACUGUGGUCUUGCAUGCUUGCCCUAGCCCCCUAGUUAAGAGGCAUGUGGCCCGCGCGAUUCCCUCGCUCCCCCUUCUGACCCGGUCCCUUCCCCUCCCCUCCCUCUCACCUCCCCCGCGCCACUCGCCCCAGGUGCCCUACGAGGACGAGGGCCACUACGUGGUGGUGCGCCACGCCGCCCUGCUGACCUCCACCCUGAUGAGCCACGUGCUCAAGGUGAGGACACUGCAUGUGUUUUCCUGAACUUGUAAUGCUAUACGGUAUGCGUGAGCUGUCGCCACUAUGCCCUACUCCUCUCCGCGGUCUUGCUGUCUCCCUUACCUUUUCGUCUCUUCCCCACCUGUGUGCUGCACUACAGAACCCCAACGUCAAGCUGUUCAACGCCACCGCUGUGGAGGACUUGAUCGUGAAGCCCGACCCCGCCCUGGGCCCCGGCGGCCGCCGCGUGGCGGGCGUGGUGACCAACUGGUCGCUGGUGGCGCAGGCGCACGGCACCCAGUCGUGCAUGGACCCCAACGUCAUUGAGGCGGGCGUGGUCGUGUCUGCCUGCGGCCACGACGGCCCCUUCGGCGCCACCGGUGAGUUGCAUGUUUUUGUGUCCGGUACCUAUUUUCCAUUGUUGUAUGCGUGUCUUGUGUGUUUCCGACCCACCCCUGGCCUGCGCUCUCGCCUCUUGUUUCUCACCUGCUUUCUCACCUGCUGCUGCCUCCACCCGCCCCCGCUGCCUACCUGCCGCUGUAGGCGUGAAGCGCCUGGCCCGCCUGGGCAUGGUGCCCGGCGGCGAGGUGCCCGGCAUGGGCGCCCUGGACAUGGAGGCCGCCGAGGGCUCCAUUGUCAACAACACCCGCGAGGUGAGCUUGGAGAGGUGGUGUUGAUUGCUGUGUUACAUAGGCCGGAAACAGCAGAGGGCCGCUGUCGCACAGCCCGCGUCCCAGCUUCUUUUGGCCUUGCCUGUGCCUCUGCUUAUGGCCUCCCUCACCUGGCUCGCUGCCUAGUUUUCUUACGGUCUUGCGUUCCCCUCCCCUCUCCCCCUCGCCCGCCCCAAUCACACCUCUAUACAGGUGGUGCCCGGCAUGGUGCUGACCGGCAUGGAGCUGGCGGAGGUGGACGGCUCGCCCCGCAUGGGCCCCACCUUCGGCGCCAUGAUCGUGUCCGGCAUGCGCGCUGCCCACAUGGCCGUCGCCGCUCUGGAGCGCCGCCGCGCCCUGUCCGCCGCCGCCGCCGAGGGUGCCGCCGCCGAGGCCCAGGCCUAAGCGCGCUCAGAACCUACUGGGCUGCGGCUCAUAUUGGGGUUGUUGCAACCCGUGGCCUGGUGUGGGUCUGCUGGUCAGUGUUGGGGCUAGGCGCAAUAGGGCGUGGGUCGCUGGGCACUGCGUCGCGAUUUCGUCAGGCUCCGAUGUCUUGUGGCUAGCACGUUUUCGACCGUGAGCGCAUGUCGGGUUCCGGUCCGGUAGCAACGUGCAAGACUCGGGUUUUGUUGAUGGAAUGUGUCCACGGGUUGAGGUUGAACGCACUCGUACUGGCGCCUGGGAGUUUGCGGGAGGAGUUGUCGUGUGGAGUUCAGCUCGGUGCCCUAGCCGACUGGGGAGCGCAGCAGUGCAUGACGAACUCCGCCGAUGUGGAACCCUUGGGGAUAAAAUGAUGGAACGCGUGAACGGUGACCGAACGCAAGCGCACCCCACCACUGGCGCACAGACCCACGCCAUGAGCUCAUGUAACAAUUUGGAGUUGAGAGAAGAUACACGUGCCUCACCACUCUAGGCGAGGCAGUGACGAGUUCGUGGCCCUUUUUAAGAUUGGGACACAAGUGUGUGUGCGUGGGCUGACCCUCAGGCUGUCCGUUGUCAGCAGCUUCGGUAAUUCACA
RNAcentral lists this long non-coding RNA (34277 nucleotides) under Chlamydomonas reinhardtii. Its description in RNAcentral is "long non-coding RNA (CREI_LNC000369)". The stretch from base 30741 to 30907 matches the Rfam family "TPP riboswitch aptamer (THI element)". The record is from RNAcentral. Lineage: Eukaryota; Viridiplantae; Chlorophyta; Chlorophyceae; Chlamydomonadales; Chlamydomonadaceae.